GGAAGCAUAACGUGCCUUAGACAGAAUCAGUGUCACCAACUACACAGAGGAAAGUAUGAGCAAGAUGGACAAAAGCAGUUCCUCUGGAUGUACACAGGAGGAAAAUGUCCUUCAGCUGGAAAGACAUGGUCAUGUUCCUUGAGGGAGAGGCCUCCUAGCAUUGAAAGUACGAGGAGUAUCUACCAUGGUGGAUAAAUGAAGAUAUCCCAUAAAGGCUGUUUACCAUUAAAAAAGAACAACACACGCUCGUUCUUUAAUGUCCGGAGCACAUCUUUGCUUGGCAGCCCGGCUAAGACCUGUCCACGGAGUAGAUGUGUGAGGUCACGUUCAGACGCUGUAAACAGCUGUUCCGGUAUGACUUCCUGACACACGAUGACAUCAUGGGGCAGUCGUGGAGGACAGUGGUGCUGAAUGACUGUCUGGGCAUGUAUGACUGGCCCCUGGGUGCCAGUAUUUGAAUCCUUAACAAAUGGAUGUUUGGUGGGACAGUGGCCAACUCCAGAUCCCAGAGACUUGGCCGAGUAUGUGCAGGAUACGGAGGACAUGACAGUAGACAAACAAUCAGCAUACACAUUCAUUCAUAUCUACCUUCUCCCUUUGAAAUGUAUUGGAAGCCAUGUAAACACAUCUAACAGUGAUUUCAUAGUGGCAGGUUAUUGUUGUUCAGUGUGUUAUGCACUUUGCCCUGGAUGCUGCUAACUAUGCUAGAAUGCUGUACCUAAAAGACAACUUCUAGUUGUUACUACACACUUUUAAAUUUAAGCAGACACACUUAUCCAGAGUGACUUACAGUAGGGAGUGCAUACAUUUUUCAUCAUUUUUCCAAACUGGUCCCCGGUGGUAAUCGAACCCACAACCCUGGCGUUGCAAGCACCAUGCUCUACCAACUAGGCAUUGACCCAAAUGUUCUCCAUAAAAACAAAAAAGGUUGACAGUAGAGAAACAGAUAAACAGUUAUGGAGACAAUACGACUACAGGCUAUGUAUUUCUCUACUUCAAUAAACAUAUAUCCAGGGACACAAAACUGUUGAAAUACAAUGACACGCCAGUUCAAUACAAUACAACUUCUGGUGUCCGAAGUCCUGUAAGCUGCACCUGUUGUUGUCUCCCUCCAAUACCAGAGCUAUGAGGACCACAGCCAAGUACGAUCCUAGGACACAGGUGGAUGGGACACAAACACUGGUUAUUUUGUAUUUGUAAUCAAAAUAAAUACACUGACUUAUAUAAAAACGUAAAUAUAUUAGAAACUAAACCUUGCACCAUUUUUUGUUUUCUUCAGCAACUCAGCCAUGAUUCAUAGAGUUAAACGACUUGAGUGUCAAUGAGGAUUCACUAGUAGCUAUCCUGUCACGGUCUGCACUCUGAUUAAAAAAGGAUUGUGGAUGCUCCAGUUUCAACUGUUCUGCCUUAUUAUUAUUCGACCAUGCUGGUCAUUUAUGAACAUUUGAACAUCUUGGCCAUGUUCUGUUAUAAUCUCCACCCGGCACAGCCAGAAGAGGACUGGCCACCCCACAUAGCCUGGUUUCUUCCUAGGUUUUGGCCUUUCUAGGGAGUUUUUCCUAGCCACCGUGCUUCUACACCUGCAUUGUUUGCUGUUUGGGGUUUUAGGCUGGGUUUCUGUACAGCACUUUGAGAUAUCAGCUGAUGUACGAAGGGCUAUAUAAAUUGAUUUGAUUGGUUGCGUGACCAGCAGGGCUAUUGUGAUCAGAUUGCAGAUACACUUAAAAAACUAGACGAUUGCUUCUCCGAUUACUUUUGAAUUCGGAAGAGAUGUUUCGGGGGCAAAAAAGGUGCAUUGUGACACCUUUCUGUUUUCUUGGUGGCAUUCGGUUUGACUUUGAAAACGGUGCUAGUUUGGGUCUGUUCCACCUGAGCUUUCAAACUGCGGGUAAGGGACCACUGUGAUGACACGGCAGGUUUGUUUGAUGGAUCCUUUUUGUCUUCUUCUGGGGCCUCUUGGGGGGAGGUGAAAGUGUACAUUUGUGUGGUACUGAUCCUGUGACUAUUAGUACUGUUUUGGAGGGAGGGCAUAGCCCCCCCCCCCCUUUGCAACUACCAUUCUCUUACCAACUAUAUUAUUUACGUAUUUAUUUUUAUUUAUGUAUUGUAUGUCUCGUUUUGCUCUAUAUGGAAAGAACACGUUUAAUUAUUUGUAAUGAACAUCUACAUCUUUGAAAAUUCAAUGGAAACAUUGAAAAGAAUGUGGGGCACUCUCUUUCAGUGUUAGCUUGUGAUGUUAUAUAUCAAAUCUAUCCAACCUAUAUUGAUUGUGACUUAUGUCUUUGACAGGUCAGAGACCCCAAGACUGCUGGUGAUGCCAGGAGUGAUGGUAGGAGAAACGGGGGAAAAACUGGGUGAGAACGGACUGGACAAUGAACAGGUUCAAUACCAUUUGUUUUUAUAGAAAAUAAAAUGCCUUUCAUCACACCAUCCUAUUCUUUGGCAUUCAGUCUAAUUGGGAGACAUUCGUGUUAUUAUAUUACUAAACACUCAUUCAUUGUGAACCUCUUUUUGCACCCCUACUGGAUGGAAAUUACAAAUGUAAUGGCUGUGCUCAAUGCAAUUGCACUUAUAAAUGUAGAUCCUUCAAACACCCACAAACAGGGAAAUCGAUCCCAAUCAAAGGUUUUUAUUACGUGCUCCACUAAGGCAGUUAUUUAUCUUAUAACUUGUCC
Molecule: long non-coding RNA, 2675 nt
Organism: Oncorhynchus kisutch (coho salmon)
Lineage: Eukaryota; Metazoa; Chordata; Actinopteri; Salmoniformes; Salmonidae
Source: Ensembl